CUUCUCUGGGCCGCGCAGGAAAGUGGGUCACACGAGGAUUGCUCUGGGGAAUUGCUCCCAGUGUUCCUCACUCCUGUCUGCCAUUCCUUGGAGCAGCGCCGACGCCAUCCCCAAGGCUGGCAGGAGAACACAAAGGAAGCACCGAUUCGGUCCUCGGACCUUAGGGUCACUGUAAGCAGGAGGCUGGUGUGGUUUCCAGUCUCAGAGACCCGGUCGCCCCCGGGAACAAUAGCGGCCGCCUGCGGGGGAGGUCGGGCGCUCCGCACAAAGCCGGCUUGGUCCGCGCGGCCACACGACGCGCGCGCUGACCCGGCUGCCGUGCUCGCCGGUGUUCCCGCGUCCACCUGGAACUCUCCGAGAAAGACAAACGCGGUUCCUCCUACUUUAGAGCAAGUCUGGGCCAGCUGGGAGCCGACCAGAAACCGCAAGCGGAGGAGACGCUGGCGCUCCGGGUGAGCGCUAAGGGAGGGGGCGACGCACAGUCCUGCGCCUGCCCAGCAGCGAUGAGGAUAGCAGCGCUCCAGGCACGCCAUAGGGAAGGUCGGGGACAUCUCUGCACGGCACCCAAAGGGAGGGCCACUGCUUAUCCUGAGCUUUAACCCCAGCCCACCAGCACGGACCUGGAACUUCACAGCAAAUCUGCACCCACGCUGUCCCCUGACCCAUUGUGACCCGGCAUUCUCCCUCCUACCCCAGUGACACUCAGAUAGGCUGCUCUAUUCCUAGAAAGGGAAAUCCUCCUUCUGAAGGCAGGGCAAGAACAAUCCCAAUGAAUCAAAGUUUCUUAUUGACCCCAAGUCUGCCUGCAGGCCUCUUCGCGUGGGAGUAAGCAGGUCAAGGUUGCUAGUGAACUUGGAGUAAACUUGAAUUCCAUUUAAAGUUACAAUAGAAGUAUGAACAUAUUUAUUUACAUCACUCUUUCCUGUCUAAUGCAGCAGGAUGACUAUUAAGUAUUUUCACCUCAGCUUUUUGGAAAGUUCAUUUUAGUAGAAUAAAGGAAAGACUGGAAGUUUCUACAGAAAGUCAUGAACCUUGGAACUGUUUGCACCAGGUCCGUUUGGAUGGAGUAGAUGGUGACACUAUACCACUGGCAACUGCUCUCUGUAAAUGACAGGAACUUUGGCCUAGUCCCCCUUGUGUCCUAUUCUCUAGCUGAAAUGCUUCUUUGUUGGAUGAGCUGCAUUACUCAGCCCUCACCAAAGUCCUAGAAUGUCCUUCCUUCUCUCUGUCUUCUUUGUCUUCAUUAUUUUGGGUGGAAAUUAACUUAUUUUGGGGGGAAAAUGUUCUAGUACUAUUUUGCUUCAGACAGACGGUGAGGCAUUUAAGCUUAAUACAAUACCCCAACCCACUGAGCAAUAAAAAUAAAUAAAAAUAAAUAAAUAAAUAAAUGCUAA
Molecule: long non-coding RNA, 1394 nt
Organism: Mastomys coucha (southern multimammate mouse)
Lineage: Eukaryota; Metazoa; Chordata; Mammalia; Rodentia; Muridae
Exons: 2
Source: RefSeq, a predicted model, not a curated record